RNAcentral lists this ribosomal RNA (301 nucleotides) under uncultured bacterium. Its description in RNAcentral is "partial 16S ribosomal RNA". It matches the Rfam family "Bacterial small subunit ribosomal RNA", at positions 509 to 807 of the family's 1533-position model. The record is from RNAcentral.
CAGUCGCCGCGGUAAUACGUAGGUGGCAAGCGUUAUCCGGAAUUAUUGGGCGUAAAGCGCGCGCAGGUGGUUUCUUAAGUCUGAUGUGAAAGCCCACGGCUCAACCGUGGAGGGUCAUUGGAAACUGGGAGACUUGAGUGCAGAAGAGGAAAGUGGAAUUCCAUGUGUAGCGGUGAAAUGCGUAGAGAUAUGGAGGAACACCAGUGGCGAAGGCGACUUUCUGGUCUGUAACUGACACUGAGGCGCGAAAGCGUGGGGAGCAAACAGGAUUAGAUACCCCAGUAGUCCCUGUCUCUUAUAC